This 404-nucleotide ribosomal RNA is filed under the name Actinomycetes bacterium. RNAcentral describes it as "Actinobacteria bacterium partial 16S ribosomal RNA". It matches the Rfam family "Bacterial small subunit ribosomal RNA", at positions 355 to 776 of the family's 1533-position model. Lineage: Bacteria; Bacillati; Actinomycetota; Actinomycetes. The record is from RNAcentral.
UGGGGAAUAUUGGACAAUGGGCGCAAGCCUGAUCCAGCCAUGCCGCGUGAGUGAUGAAGGCCCUAGGGUUGUAAAGCUCUUUCACCGGUGAAGAUAAUGACGGUAACCGGAGAAGAAGCUCCGGCUAACUUCGUGCCAGCAGCCGCGGUAAUACGAAGGGGGCUAGCGUUGUUCGGAUUUACUGGGCGUAAAGCGCACGUAGGCGGACUUUUAAGUCAGGGGUGAAAUCCCGGGGCUCAACCCCGGAACUGCCUUUGAUACUGGAAGUCUGGAGUAUGGUAGAGGUGAGUGGAAUUCCGGGUGUAGAGGUGAAAUUCGUAGAUAUUCGGAGGAACACCAGUGGCGAAGGCGGCUCACUGGACCAUUACUGACGCUGAGGUGCGAAGGCGUGGGGAGCAAACAGG